Molecule: ribosomal RNA, 497 nt
Filed under: uncultured bacterium
Lineage: Bacteria
Description: partial 16S ribosomal RNA
Rfam family: Bacterial small subunit ribosomal RNA
Source: RNAcentral
UCUUCCCUCUUUCUUCGUGCCUAAUACAUGCAAGUCGAGCGAACAGACGAGGCGCUUGCUCCUCUGACGUUAGCGGCGGACGGGUGAGUAACACGUGGAUAACCUACCUAUAAGACUGGGAUAACUUCGGGAAACCGGAGCUAAUACCGGAUAACAUGUUGAACCGCAUGGUUCAACAGUGAAAGACGGUCUUGCUGUCACUUAUCGAUGGAUCCGCGCCGCAUUAGCUAGUUGGUAAGGUAACGGCUUACCAAGGCAACGAUGCGUAGCCGACCUGAGAGGGUGAUCGGCCACACUGGAACGUAGACACGGUCCAGACGCCUACGGGAGGCAGCAGUAGGGAAUCUUCCGCAAUGGGCGAAAGCCUGACGGAGCAACGCCGCGUGAGUGAAGAAGGUCUUCGGAUCGUAAAACUCUGUUAUUAGGGAAGAACAAAUUUGUAAGUAACUAUGCACGUCUUGACGGUACCUAAUCAGAAAGCCACGGCUAACUACGUG